UACAGAGGGGGCAAGCGUUGUUCGGAAUUACUGGGCGUAAAGGGCGCGUAGGCGGCCUUCUAAGUCAGACGUGAAAUCCCCCGGCUUAACCUGGGAACUGCGUCUGAUACUGGAAGGCUUGAGGAUGGGAGAGGGAUGUAGAAUUCCAGGUGUAGCGGUGAAAUGCGUAGAUAUCUGGAGGAAUACCGGUGGCGAAGGCGGCAUCCUGGACCAUUACUGACGCUGAGGCGCGAAAGCUAGGGGAGCAAACGGG
Molecule: ribosomal RNA, 253 nt
Filed under: uncultured bacterium
Lineage: Bacteria
Description: partial 16S ribosomal RNA
Rfam family: Bacterial small subunit ribosomal RNA
Source: RNAcentral